Long non-coding RNA from Monopterus albus (swamp eel), 1296 nucleotides. RefSeq lists it as uncharacterized. The record is from RefSeq and is a predicted model, not a curated record. NCBI's taxonomy places the organism in Eukaryota, Metazoa, Chordata, Actinopteri, Synbranchiformes, Synbranchidae. The transcript has 5 exons.
CCAAGAUUCAAACCUUCAACCUUCCGGUUGGGAGAUCACUGCUCUGCCCACUGCACCACUGUCACCCCCUAAUUAGCUCUUCUGUCAUGGUUAUUCCUAUCUCCACCUACAACUGCAAGUCUUUGUGUUUUGAUAACAGACUUUACUUCUUUUCCUGAAUUAAACUCUUUACAGUACAAGGGAGCUUGGCUUGGCAGAGAUAUCCCUCUAGGCUGUUUCUGGAAGAAUCAUUGCAAAUACACAUGUCCAUGGCUGAAGGGGUUUCCAUUUUUUCUUUCCAACUGGAGCUCUCUACUGUAAUUUCAGUAAGAUACUGAAAUCACACUUUCUGACAGGUGCUUAAUAGGGAGACAGUGAUGACAGUCCUAGGAAACACCUGCUCAGAAGUGAUGGUCAUAUGUCAAGAAACCAAAAAGAGAAUUCUCUAAUGGUUUCUGGCAUCUAGAAAUGUGCACAAAUUCCACUUGCUCUGAACAUGAAUCAACUUGUUUCCAGAAGAAGUUCUGUUCUCGAUACAGUGGCAUUUAGGAGGAGAGGAAUUAUCGCAUCUCACUGACCGAGUUAGUAAAAUUAGUGUCCUAGAAAAAUUCAGGUUUCAUGAACAUUGAUGUUAAGUUGUUCAGUUACUGCAGUGCACAGCAGUUACAGUCUCACUACUACACCUGACUUGUGGUUUUAAGUCUGGAUGAUUGUCAGUGUGUGUUGCUGUGGAAAUCGGAUGUGAUUUACCGCCUCAUCUCUCCUCCCUUCUCUCAGAGCGGUUAAGUGACAGGUCAGGACAUGCUGGGAAACCAUAUCCUCUGCCUCUUUGAUCUGCUAAUGGAGACAAACAGGACCACGGAUGGAUGGCUACCGUAACGACAGGCUGCCACAACUGCCUCUGCACUGACCAGGUGAAUUUGGAGGUGUCCGGGUCACAGAGGAGGCAAGGGCUGCUGGGAUUGGAGUCUCCUUCUGCAAAACACAUCCCUUCGAUGUUACAUGUCUGCUCCUGGCCAACAGAAACAGAGUCGACCAGGAAAAGAAACUUGAGAGUCCAGGUUGUCUUUACAAGCGACCUGUUGCAGUCAUGUGAAUAAAAAAGCAUUACCUUUAACUUACAGAGUCCUGAGCGUGACGCCUCGCAGACCUGGCAAACCCCAUCAUAGAUUGUCAGCACCUUGGGCUGGCUGUACUGGGAGCCAUCAUUGGUCACCUGGGACAGGAAAGGUAUGGCAGUAGCGCAUCCUCCCAGCCCAGGUCAUCUUUGAGCUGCAGGUCCAGGAUGCAGAGAUCCACUGCCUCGUCCAGGCGGCG